AGUGAACGCUGGCGGUAGGCCUAACACAUGCAAGUCGAACGGCAGCACAGUGAUUGCUCGUGCAUACGGGGGCGGAGUGGCGGAUGGGGCCUGGAAACAUCCCUGGCUGCUUGUGAUAAGGGGCGAAAGUAGGGGAACUUACGCCAUUACUGCAGACGACCUACGGGGGAAAGCAGCGGAUCUUCGGCCCUUGCGCGAGCGAAUGUGCCGAGGUCGGAUUAGCUAGUUGGCGGGGUAAAGGCCCACCAAGGCGACGAUCCGUAACUGGUCUGAGAGGAUGAUCAGUCACACUGGAACUGAGACACGGUCCAGACUCCUACGGGAGGCAGCAGUGGGGAAUAUUGGACAAUGGGCGAAAGCCUGAUCCAGCCAUGCCGCGUGUGUGAAGAAGGUCUUCGGAUUGUAAAGCACUUUAAGUUGGGAGGAAGGGCAGUAAGUUAAUACCUUGCUGUUUUGACGUUACCAACAGAAUAAGCACCGGCUAACUUCGUG
This 492-nucleotide ribosomal RNA is filed under the name uncultured bacterium. RNAcentral describes it as "partial 16S ribosomal RNA". It matches the Rfam family "Bacterial small subunit ribosomal RNA", at positions 29 to 507 of the family's 1533-position model. The record is from RNAcentral.